Long non-coding RNA from Zonotrichia leucophrys gambelii, 1603 nucleotides. RefSeq lists it as uncharacterized. The transcript has 6 exons. Lineage: Eukaryota; Metazoa; Chordata; Aves; Passeriformes; Passerellidae. The record is from RefSeq and is a predicted model, not a curated record.
UGGGUUAGCUGGGUGAGGAGAGGGUUGGAGUUUGUUUUUUGUGCUGUGAAGGAAUUGUUGGUUGUGAAGAAGAAGGAGUCCAUACUUUGAAGUGUUGCCCAUGAGAAAUCACUGUGAUGGUGAACUUCAAGACAAACAUCAUCCCAAAUUGAGUGUUUGGCAGCAAAUAAUGAAUAUAAAUGUGCUUCAAUGGAAGAAAGGCAGUUAUGGAAUUAAAAGCUCUCCUCACCUCCCCUUGGCUGCCCAGGGAGCUCCCUCCUGCUUGAUCUCCCUCCAUGUGUGGAUGCAAUGAACUGCUGGUGACAUGAGGUGUCUGUCUCGGGUGUGAUGACCUGCAGUGACUGGCAGACAAGUGUGCUCUGGGAGGAGCAUUUCACCCUCCUGUCCAGAUAUAUCCUGGCUGCUCCCCCUUCACCAAGUAAACACAGGUAGCCUGUUCAUUCCAGUGAAGAUUUAAGCCUUGGAGAAUGACUGGAGCUAAGCAACAGCUUCCCCAUGGCACAGCCAAACUUCUCAGCAAGUGUGGCAACCCUACUUUGAGUCAUGUUCACCUGCAAAGGCCCCUAGAUGAGGAUCCAAAAGCUCCAUCAGUGCUGAUCAGCUGCCCCAUGUAACCAAUGAAUGCUGCAAGAGGAAGAGGGCAGGUUCUGUUGGAGCCUGGGGAAAAAAGGACUGCCAGACUGUGAUCUGAAGAUGGAGCUGAGCCAGCUGGUGUCCAAUGCAAUGAUCAAAUGAGUGCUAAGUUGCUGAAGAUGGUUUUUGGUCUUGACUUCUUCCAAAGGCCUUGGCUUUCCUGAUACGCUGAGAGGUCAUGAAAAGAUGGCAGUUAUGAAUAGAAUCUUUGUGAAGAGAAGAAGCAAAAAGAGAAGAGCUGUUCUAAAGCUGGGAGCAGGAAAGGGCUGUUGAAAGGAAUGUGAUCACCAAGACACCAUGAAGGAAAAUGUGGCAAGUUGAUAAGGAGAAUGUCCAUGCAGGAGCUGUGCUGAAUGCAGAAGACAAAGCCAGCUAUGAGAUGAGUUUGUUCCAUGUUGGGAAAGUGCUAAAACUGCUGGCAGAAGGGCGAAAGGCAGAAGAAACAUGCAUUUUAUAGCACUUGGAAUAGAUUGGGAAGCAAAACUGAGAAGGUGUCUGAAUAAUUCUGAAUCAGCAGGUAGAGAAAAUGAAGCAAGUGGAAAAGAAGGGUAACAAAUUUUCCCUUCAUUCAAGUUAAUUUUGAAACAAGGCUGUUGUGCAGGAUAACAAAAAAUACUUAACAGCAAAGGAAGAGAUAUAGAAAAUUUUAAGUCAGGAAUUGGCAAGGGAAAUGGGCCCCUGAAUUUCUAGAGACACCUUCAGUGGGUGCCAGAUAUUUAACUACAGAAAAAACCUGGGAGAUGUGUUUUGUAUUUAACAUGCAUGAGGUAGAAUUGGCUGCUGUAGAUGAAAAGUGAUGGGAGACCUUAAAGUAAGGUGCUAACUGGAACCAGUUUUACUGUGCCAGUGGGUACAUUGGUAGAUGACUCUUAUUAAACUCUGUCCCUGGUUAGCUCAUGUGUGAGAUGAACUCUGGGAGACAGGGGCCAAAUUAGGGGGCAGCUGAGGGGCUGGAGGCCCUCUGGCAAAG